Molecule: ribosomal RNA, 799 nt
Filed under: uncultured Glomeromycotina
Lineage: Eukaryota; Fungi; Glomeromycota
Description: SSU rRNA
Rfam family: Eukaryotic small subunit ribosomal RNA
Source: RNAcentral
AUCAACUUUCGAUGGUAGGAUAGAGGCCUACCAUGGUGGUAACGGGUAACGGGGUGUUAGGGCACGACACCGGAGAGGGAGCCUGAGAAACGGCUACCACAUCCAAGGAUGGCAGCAGGCGCGCAAAUUACCCAAUCCCGACACGGGGAGGUAGUGACAAUAAAUAACAAUACGGGGUUCUUUAGGAUUUCGUAAUUGGAAUGAGUACAAUUUAAAUCUCUUAACGAGGAACAAUUGGAGGGCAAGUCUGGUGCCAGCAGCCGCGGUAAUUCCAGCUCCAAUAGCGUAUAUUAAAGUUGUUGCAGUUAAAAAGCUCGUAGUUGAAUUUCGGGGUCAGUAGGUUGGUCAUGCCACUGGUAUGUACUGGCCUCACUGAUUCCUCCUUCCUGAUGAGCCGUAAUGCCAUUAAUUUGGUGUUGCGAGGAAUCUGGACUGUUACUUUGAAAAAAUUAGAGUGUUUAAAGCAGGCUAACGCUUGAAUACAUUGGCAUGGAAUAAUGAAAUAGGACGUUCGAUCUUAUUUUGUUGGUUUCUAAGAUUGACGUAAUGAUUAAUAGGGAUAGUUGGGGGCAUUAGUAUUCAAUUGUCAGAGGUGAAAUUCUUGGAUUUAUUGAAGACUAACUACUGCGAAAGCAUUUGCCAGGGAUGUUUUCAUUAAUCAAGAACGAAAGUUAGGGGAUCGAAGACGAUCAGAUACCGUCGUAGUCUUAACCAUAAACUAUGCCGACUAGGGAUCGGAUGAUGUUAAUUUUUUAAUGACUCAUUCGGCGCCUUACGGGAAACCAAAGUGUUUGGGUUC